Molecule: non-coding RNA, 617 nt
Organism: Megalopta genalis
Lineage: Eukaryota; Metazoa; Arthropoda; Insecta; Hymenoptera; Halictidae
Source: RefSeq, a predicted model, not a curated record
UGUGGUUCUGAAAGAUGACAUCCGCGGAAGCCACUAUAGUGGUGCGUCGUGCCUAAAAGGUUUAGCAGAGUCUUGGCAUCAAAUUGACAUAAAUAUCCUCCCCCAGUACAAUACCAAGCGUUUCGCAUGUAUUUGGUCGAAACACGAAACAGAGUUGGCUGACUUGGUACGAUCGUAUUGUUAUCUUAUGACCACUUAUAACUUAUGAUACAACCGAAUAGAACGAUAUUGUAGAAAGGCGUCGAAUAUUCCAAGCGUCGUCGCCGGUAGUCCAAAAUAAACAUAAUCCAACGGAUAUGUAUGCAUUCAAGUAAAGGAGCAGAUACAUAAUUAUUUUGAUAGAGAUGUAACGAUGGUAUGCUACAUACAUACACAUAUGUAUACAGCACGGUAUACACAAAAUCUAUUUUCAUAUGCAUAUAUGUAUAGUUCGUCGUUCGUCGCUUUCGUAUGUUUAUAUGGUUGAACUCCAUGAUUAAAUCCUGUUGACUGUGAACAUCGUUUUCUACGGACAUAUUUACACGUCGCCCACGACAACACGGUAUGAUUUUUUCAAUAAAGAUCAAUGAGAAAUUACCCAUUCAAGGAUAUUUCCCAUGAAAACAAUGAUCUCUAAA